RNAcentral lists this unclassified non-coding RNA (170 nucleotides) under Umbelopsis ramanniana. Lineage: Eukaryota; Fungi; Mucoromycota; Umbelopsidomycetes; Umbelopsidales; Umbelopsidaceae. The record is from RNAcentral.
CUGAAGUGAGUCUUCAAUCAUUGAAGCUUCUUCCCAUUGUGCUGGCUUUGACCGUAUGUAAUGUUGGGGAUUAAACAUGGUUGAGAGAAAUCUUGGCCGUCCCCAACAAAUUAUCUUAUCCUUUAUUAAAUUGAACUGAACUCAUUUUGAGAUUACAUAAAAAAAAAUAA